Non-coding RNA from Pelobates cultripes (western spadefoot toad), 888 nucleotides. The record is from the annotation of a GenBank genome assembly. Lineage: Eukaryota; Metazoa; Chordata; Amphibia; Anura; Pelobatidae.
UGAGGAUGGAAUGGGGGGGGGGGCAAGUUACAGGGGCUGGGGAUGGAAUUGGGGGGGCAAGUUACAGGGGGAGAAGGUGAUGUUUGCUCUGAGGAUGAGGAAGCAGUAGUUCCAGGUGGGUUCUGGAGAAGCUAUCCCAGGAUGAGGUAGCAGUAGUUCCAGGUGGGUUCUGGAGAAGCUAUCCCGGGAUGAGGUAGCAGUAGUUCCAGGUGGGUUCUGGAGAAGCUAUCCCAGGAUGAGGUAGCAGUAGUUCCAGGUGGGUUCUGGAGAAGCUAUCCCAGGAUGAGGUAGCAGUAGUUCCAGGUGGGUUCUGGAGAAGCUAUCCCAGGAUGAGGUAGCAGUAGUUCCAGGUGGGUUCUGGAGAAGCUAUCCCAGGAUGAGGAAGCAGUAGUUCCAGGUGGGUUCUGGAGAAGCUAUCCCAGGAUGAGGUAGCAGUAGUUCCAGGUGGGUUCUGGAGAAGCUAUCCCAGGAUGAGGAAGCAGUAGUUCCAAGUGGGUUCUGGAGAAGCUAUCCCAGGAUGAGGUAGCAGUAGUUCCACGUGGGUUCUGGAGGAACUAUCCCAGGAUGAGGAAGCAGUAGUUCCAGGUGGGUUCUGGAGAAGCUAUCCCAGGAUGAGGAAGCAGUAGUUCCAGGUGGGUUCUGCAGAAGCUAUCCCAGGGUGAGGUAGCAGUAGUUCCAGGUGGACUAUGGAGGGGUUAACCCAGGAAGAGUUAGCAGAAGUGACAGGUGUAGUUAAAAGAGGAGGUGAGCAGUGAAAUUUGAAUUGUGCAGAGUGUGGAUUUACAGCCCAUCCCAGGUUCAAAGCUCAUUUUAACAGAGAUAAAUUGGUGUGGUCUGGCACUGUGCCUUCACCUCACCUUCUAGGUACACACGUUGUAUGCUGGCAAC